GUGCUCACUUUGGCAGCACAUAUGUUAAAACUGAAACAAUAAAGAGAAGAUUAGCAUGACCACUGUGCAAGGAUGACAUGCAAAUAUGAGAAGCUUUCCAUAUAUAU
This 107-nucleotide small nuclear RNA is filed under the name Salvator merianae (Argentine black and white tegu). Lineage: Eukaryota; Metazoa; Chordata; Lepidosauria; Squamata; Teiidae. The record is from RNAcentral.